This 138-nucleotide ribosomal RNA is filed under the name uncultured eukaryote. RNAcentral describes it as "partial 18S ribosomal RNA". It matches the Rfam family "Eukaryotic small subunit ribosomal RNA", at positions 1299 to 1458 of the family's 1831-position model. The record is from RNAcentral.
UGGCGGAGCGAUUUGUCUGGUUAAUUCCGAUAACGAACGAGACUCUGGCCUAUUAAAUAGUUCGCCGAUUCCGAUCUGUCGGCGUUAACUUCUUAGAGGGACAAGUGGCUUUUAGCCACGCGAGAUUGAGCAAUAACA